AUCGCUUCUCUGCCUUUUGGCUAAGAUCAAGUGUAGUAUCUGUUGUUAUCAGUUUAAUAUCUGAUAUGCCCUCUAUUUGAGGACUCUAUAUUAAAUGGAUUUUUGGGACUGGGAAAUAAAAAAAAGUCAAAAUAGUAAUAAACGUUUAUUAGGAUGUGUGAUGAUGAUGACAUCACCACCACCACUAACACCACCAUCA
This 199-nucleotide small nuclear RNA is filed under the name Salvator merianae (Argentine black and white tegu). Its description in RNAcentral is "U2 spliceosomal RNA (ENSSMRG00000006881.1)". It matches the Rfam family "U2 spliceosomal RNA". Rfam says of the family: U2 is a small nuclear RNA (snRNA) component of the spliceosome (involved in pre-mRNA splicing). Complementary binding between U2 snRNA (in an area lying towards the 5' end but 3' to hairpin I) and the branchpoint sequence (BPS) of the intron results the bulging out of an unpaired adenosine, on the BPS, which initiates a nucleophilic attack at the intronic 5' splice site, thus starting the first of two transesterification reactions that mediate splicing. The record is from Rfam by way of RNAcentral. Lineage: Eukaryota; Metazoa; Chordata; Lepidosauria; Squamata; Teiidae.